CCUAAAAUGACAGAUGGAUUGUGUAGGACUUAAGAUCCUCCCAGGAAGCCGUAGCUUCUUUUAGAA
Molecule: transfer RNA, 66 nt
Filed under: Engaewa subcoerulea
Lineage: Eukaryota; Metazoa; Arthropoda; Malacostraca; Decapoda; Parastacidae
Description: tRNA-Leu
Source: RNAcentral